Long non-coding RNA from Nomascus leucogenys (northern white-cheeked gibbon), 1613 nucleotides. RefSeq lists it as uncharacterized. The record is from RefSeq and is a predicted model, not a curated record. The transcript has 2 exons. Lineage: Eukaryota; Metazoa; Chordata; Mammalia; Primates; Hylobatidae.
AUUUAUUAUAGCCAUGAAAUGCUCUGCUCUCUUCUCUUUUCCUUGCUGUCCCCAGGGCUGGAGGAGCACGGGCCUCCCCGGGAGUGGGCUUCGGCCUCGCUGGACUCCCGUCUCCUUCCAAGGAGUAGGGCCUGAGGGACUAGAAGCAAGAGUCCCUAGAGCAUCCAAGAUUUUUGGUUUCAAACCAAUUUCCUGCUGACCAGAAUGAAAUGGAGCCACAUUUCAGCACGAUGCACCUGCUGACCUCCUGCAAGUCAGGGACCUUCUCUGCCCCUCUUUUGCUCCGCUGCAGGAGGGGGAAGCUGGGAAUGUGUUCCUCUGGGGUCCCAUCACCUCCAGCCAGCCACUGUCCCUGUCUCCCCAAAACCUCCUCGUUGUCCCUCCUCUGUCCUCCUCCUCCAACUGCCUUCGCCCUGCUCUCCUCUUUUUCGCCUGAGGUUCGUGCUGCCUCCUCACCUCUUGUCCUGUUUCUCCCUUCUCUCUGCUCCCUCCGUUGAUCUUGCUAUUUUGCUUCUCUUUCCCUUCCUCUCUUCUCCUCCCUCCCCUUCCUCCCUGCUUCCUGCCUCAGCUUCUCAGUCUCUCUCCAUUCUUCCUCUAGCUUCCUUCCCCCCCCAGAAGACCCAGCCCUUCCUAGAGCCCCAGAAGCCAGGGUUCAUGCCCCAGCUCUCUACCCACACAUGCUGUGCAACCCUGGGCCAGUCACUGGUCUCUUGGGCCUCAGUUCAACAGAUGGCUGUCUUGGUGAUGUGAGAUCAUAGGGUGGAAGCACCCAGAAUGGUGCCAGGCACUCAAAAACUUUUUUCUUUUCCUUUUUAAGGAACUACUAACCUUGAGGUUAUGGAUUACCAAACCCUUCCUGUUCUUGGAAUCUGGGUCCUACUAUUCCCAAGAAUUUGAAUUACCACGGGUCCCUGGGGAUGUAAGGGGAUGAGGCUUCUGGUGUACUUUGGGAAGGGGAGGAGAGUGAAAAGGAGUUGGGAGGACACUCUAGCAUUGCCCAGAGGGCAGAGGACGUUCUGCCUAUUUCCAGAGGUUAUUGACCCUGGACCUCUUUUAUGGACUUCCUCACCCAGGCCCCUUGAGCUUGGCCAUACUUGAGGCAAUGGGGUAUCUUCCUUCUCCUGGAGCCCCUUGAAUCUUAGGCCUCGGGAGCACACAGCCUAUCUGGUUUCUUGGCUGCACCCACAGAGGAGAGCCCUAUACUCCUUGCUUACAACCAGCAAAGACUCCGCAGCCAUCCCUGCACACGACUCAGGCUCCUUGGCUUGGCACUCAAGGCUCUUUGCCUUCCUGUCCUGCUUUGCUUCCAGCUGCAAAGAUGGUGGCUCCCUGUUUUCCUUUGCUGAAGUUGAUUCUCAGCCAGACAUGCCUUCCCCCUGCACGCUUCCCUCAGCCAUCCUAUCUGGGACCCUGACCCAAUCAAUGGUUCCCUAAUGCACCUUUGAGACCAAGCGUACCUGGCACCUCCUCUCUUGCCCCACUAUCUGCUCACAUGACCCUCUGCAGGCCUGUAAGCUGCUGGAGGCUCCGAGUAUGCCUCAUUCAUGUCUGUCGCCCUUACUAAGCCCAAACCAUGGAAGACACGUAAUAAAAAGUAAGUGAUUAAAUGACAA